AUACGGAGGGGGCUAGCGUUGUUCGGAUUUACUGGGCGUAAAGCGCGCGUAGGCGGUAUAUCAAGUUAGGCGUGAAAGCCCCGGGCUCAACCCGGGAACUGCGCUUAUUACUGAUAAACUAGAGUCCGGGAGAGGGUGGCGGAAUUCCCAGUGUAGAGGUGAAAUUCGUAGAUAUUGGGAAGAACACCAGUGGCGAAGGCGGCCACCUGGACCGGUACUGACGCUGAGGCGCGAAAGCGUGGGGAGCAAACAGGAUUAGAAACCCCGGUAGUCC
RNAcentral lists this ribosomal RNA (274 nucleotides) under uncultured bacterium. RNAcentral describes it as "partial 16S ribosomal RNA". It matches the Rfam family "Bacterial small subunit ribosomal RNA", at positions 523 to 796 of the family's 1533-position model. The record is from RNAcentral.